This 148-nucleotide long non-coding RNA is filed under the name Fukomys damarensis (Damara mole-rat). RNAcentral's name for it is "lncRNA (ENSFDAG00000022708.1)". Lineage: Eukaryota; Metazoa; Chordata; Mammalia; Rodentia; Bathyergidae. The record is from RNAcentral.
GCUUUGAAAGGGGCCAGUGAGAACCUACAGCUGUGGUGAAAGUCAUGGAAAAUGAUGUUGAGUGCCAAAUCCACAAGUUUUCAGUGACCAACCUAGGCAGCAGUUCUACUUGAGUCUCCAGGUAGGAGCCAAAGCAGCUGCUUUUGCG